ACAUUGGUGGUUCGGUGGCAGAAUCCUCGCCUUUCAUGCAGGAGACCCAGGUUUGACUCCUGGCCAAUGUA
This 71-nucleotide transfer RNA is filed under the name Loxodonta africana (African savanna elephant). It matches the Rfam family "tRNA". From Rfam's summary of the family: Transfer RNA (tRNA) molecules are approximately 80 nucleotides in length. Their secondary structure includes four short double-helical elements and three loops (D, anti-codon, and T loops). Lineage: Eukaryota; Metazoa; Chordata; Mammalia; Proboscidea; Elephantidae. The record is from Rfam by way of RNAcentral.